UGGAACAACUGUAACCAGAAUAACUUAAGGAAAGGGUAAAAAGCUAUGAGUAACUCCAUGUGUCAUGCCCAGCCCUGCCGCUGCUCGCCACCUCCAACCGAGCGCAUGGCCGAACGUCACUGCUGCUCAAAGGAAUGAACCACAGCUUGACCUCCAACCUGCAGAAAUACUCCGAGGAACAUCUCCCCAGACGAAACGACAAUUAAAACCAGAACCAGCGCAUACGCACGUUCCCUGCGCGGACAGAUGCUGGAGGUUUUUUCCGUGCCAGCCGUCCCGAGGCAACGCAGUGCGCAGCGCUAUGACUUGUAGCUGCAAAAAUGUGAGAAAUGGCCAAGUUUCCAGAAUGCAUCACAAACCAAACCGAAGCCUCCUCUGCAGCCUUACGGUUCUCUCUUGCCUUUUCUCUCACAAAUCAUUGCAUUUUAGUGCGUUUAGUCAUCUUCCUAAAUUCGGCUGCGAAUCGGACCGCUCUUAACCAAGCGCUGGGAAGUUCUUCCCCUGCACCAUGCAGGCACAACCAGGGACCUUCUGAAAGGAAAACCAGGACAUAAGCAGGUAUUCCCCUUAUGAGGGCUAUUCCAGGCCGUAAAAAGAUGAUCAGUGAGUAUUUUCACAUGCUCUGCAUGAUGCCACCAACUAACAAUGAAGAGCACUUGUGACCUCAGAUCAACAAAAGCUCUCAAAGCAUCUUUUUUUUUGACCCAGAUUAGGCACGGCAUGAAUAAAUCCAGCCAACCCCAUGAUAAUUUAAGCAUAUGUCUAAAAUGAAAUACAAGAUUGAAUGUUCUUCUGGCUCAGGGCAUACUUUAAACCCCUUUCAUUAUAUGGUUUCCAGUGCAAGACAAAAUCACAACGCCGAAAAAAAAGGAGUAGACUGGAAGAGAACCAGGCUACAAAUCACAAAUUAUUUCACUGUCAGCGUCUUAUCUUUAAACCAUUCUUGCAGGGAAAGAACAGCAGGAAAGAGGCUCAAAAAUUAUUUCAAAGACACUACUGCACUGGCUGUCUGCUAGCAGAUUAAUCAUCCAUUGCCCGCUUAACAUAAAUGUAAUUGUUUUGGAAUAUUGCAAAAUUACAAGAGCGUAUAGUGACUCAAGUCGAAUCUGGCUCUUCAUUUUACAUCUGUUUUAGACUUGUUAUCUCUGCUGCAGAAAGGACCAACUUCAAGGAAAAAAAUGUCACGCAGCUGAAAGUUUAUUGAUUACCCAGACAACAACUCCGGCCCAGCCACUGCAAAUCUCUCCACGGGAUGGUAUUCACAGAAACUGCUUCUAAUGAGGAAACCUUAAGGCAAGAAAGGAAAACCUGAGGGCAGAUCAGAGGCACCAUCCUGGACCUGCAGGCCGGCCCCCUUCCAGCUCUCUGCCCCGAUGCUUCAUCCCAGACCGCAACCACAUCCCGCCAAGGGGCCAGCAAGCGCCGUUGUUUUCCCUGGCACUCGCACCCCACCAGUGUCCGCCUCGAGCCCCACCUUGGAAAGGGCACGGCAAUCCUACAGCUGAAAUAACCACGGCCAGGAAACUUGCAAAAAUAGGAUUUGAGUCCUCAGACCAGCGAGCUUUUCAAGGCUGUAACACAGAGGAUGCCCAGAGAAAGUGGGAAACAGCCACAAUUUCCUCAUCACCCCUGCAGGCUCCCUCCUCUACCGUCCUGGUGCUCCAGAUUGCGGACGUCCAAGUGAUGAAGGAGGUCCUGGUGAUGGAGGAGGUCUCGGUGAGGGAGAUCUCACAUGCCAACAGGAGAGGGGUCAGCCCAGCCAGGACAUGGGGAGGUGCCCAUGGUCCUGCACUCCUAUAUGUGCGGGAGUAUUCCCAAAACCCCCUGAGCACCAACUGCAAGAGUACUCACUGAUUUCCAUGACAAGCCAUAGGUGGUCCUGAGGCACCUCCAUGAGCCCUCAAUGCUUCAUGAGAUCUCCCGCUCGAUGGGAGCCACCUUCCCUUGGAAACAAAGCUUGCACAGGUUUCAGCUCGUUUCCAGUUUAAAAAUAAAAUAUUUCUCAAAGUUCAAUAGCAGAGAUCUUUGGCUGCAAAAAAAUUCAAUUCCCUACUUUAGGAUUCAAGUCCUGACAUCCCAGCAGUACAUACUGAUGCUGCUCCAGAGCAUGGAGCCCUGAUUCGGACCCAUGCCCGUGCAAGCAACAGGCAGCUUUGUCUGCGCCUCACCCCAUCCCACACCCAUCCUCCCACUCCUGCACACAUCUCUGCUCCCCUUUUGCUGCCACCCCAUAGAAAAGCGUGUGGCUUUAGCCACCAAGUCCAUGCCCUGACUGGCGAAGAAGACACCCGUGCAGAGGACACCCAGUGGCACCACCACACUGCCACCCCAGCUGCCACCCAGGACCAGAGCUACUCUCACUGCAUCAUCACACCUUCAGCCUCCUGGCACAGCCGCCAGGGCCACAAGGGUGCCAAUUCUGCCGUCCUGCCCUCAGCGGCCCCAAUUCGGGCACAUCUCCCAUCACGUGCAGUUUCUGCUGGCCAGGGCAGCCAGCGCCCCUGUGCCCGGAGCUGCUUAUCUGCUUACAGGCAGCACUACAGCUAAGUAGCUUGCUCCAUCAGAGCCCGCAGUACCCCAUCAGGAGAGCACCGAAGCGUGUGUUGUCCCCACCCUGGAUGAGGCCACCGCACUCAAGCACCCAGCUGAAGAUGAGGGUGCACCUUGGGCCUCCCAACACCCACCCGAGUGGCUCCUGUGGG
Molecule: long non-coding RNA, 2702 nt
Organism: Cygnus atratus (black swan)
Lineage: Eukaryota; Metazoa; Chordata; Aves; Anseriformes; Anatidae
Exons: 3
Source: RefSeq, a predicted model, not a curated record